UAAGGAAUAUUGGUCAAUGGGCGGAAGCCUGAACCAGCCAUGCCGCGUGCAGGAAGACGGCCCUACGGGUUGUAAACUGCUUUUGCAGGGGAAUAAACCUUCGUAUGUAUACGAAGCUGAAUGUACUCUGAGAAUAAGGAUCGGCUAACUCCGUGCCAGCAGCCGCGGUAAUACGGAGGAUCCAAGCGUUAUCCGGAUUUAUUGGGUUUAAAGGGUGCGUAGGUGGUUUUUUAAGUCAGGGGUGAAAGACGGCAGCUUAACUGUCGCAGUGCCUUUGAUACUGAAGAACUUGAAUUAACUAGAGGUAGGCGGAAUGUGACAAGUAGCGGUGAAAUGCAUAGAUAUGUCACAGAACACCAAUUGCGAAGGCAGCUUACUAUGGUUAUAUUGACACUGAGGCACGAAAGCGUGGGGAUCAAACAG
RNAcentral lists this ribosomal RNA (423 nucleotides) under uncultured bacterium. RNAcentral describes it as "bacterial SSU rRNA". It matches the Rfam family "Bacterial small subunit ribosomal RNA", at positions 355 to 775 of the family's 1533-position model. The record is from RNAcentral.